GACGAACGCUGGCGGCGUGCUUAACACAUGCAAGUCGAACGGAAAGGCCCUGCUUUUGUGGUAUGCCCGAGUGGCGAAAGGGUGAGUAACACGUGAGUAACCUGCCCUUGACUUUGGGAUAACUUCAGGAAACUAGGGCUAAUACCGGAUAGGAGCUCCUGCUGCAUGGUGGGGGUUGGAAAGUCUCGGCGGGUGGGGAUGGACUCGCGGCUUAUCAGCUUGUUGGUGGGGUAGUGGCUUACCAAGGCUUUGACGGGUAGCCGGCCUGAGAGGGUGACCGGCCACAUUGGGACUGAGAUACGGCCCAGACUCCUACGGGAGGCAGCAGUGGGGAAUAUUGCCCAAUGGGCGGAAGCCUGAUACGGCAACGCCGCGUGCGGGAUGACGGCCUUCGGGUUGUAAACCGCUUUCGCCUGUGACGAAGCGUGAGUGACGGUAAUGGGUAAAGAAGCACCGGCUAACUACGUG
This 468-nucleotide ribosomal RNA is filed under the name uncultured bacterium. RNAcentral describes it as "partial 16S ribosomal RNA". It matches the Rfam family "Bacterial small subunit ribosomal RNA", at positions 28 to 507 of the family's 1533-position model. The record is from RNAcentral.